GUGGAAGAGGAGGUGGUAGCCAACACUGUUUUAUAAAUAUAUAUAUAUAUAAAUAAAUAUUUUUUUUUUUUUUGAAUUGGGAUAGCCCCCGAAAUAUUGGGACAUAAAAAAAGACAACUCUGUUCCGCAGAGUAGCUGUUGACAUUAUAGUUGCGCAGGCACUUUGUUGACUCUAGAGAACAUCGGGCCAAUCGCACAUCCCCGUGACGGCGACUUUGCAUUCGGAUGUCAUCCAUAUCAACUUUCAAUGCCAGUUUAUGCACCUACCAUGGUGACCACGGGUAACGGGGAAUCAGGGUUCCAUUCCGUACAGUGACCCUGAGAAACGGCUACCACAUGUAAGGAAGGCA
Pelobates cultripes (western spadefoot toad) is the source of this 350-nucleotide non-coding RNA. NCBI's taxonomy places the organism in Eukaryota, Metazoa, Chordata, Amphibia, Anura, Pelobatidae. The record is from the annotation of a GenBank genome assembly.